This 264-nucleotide ribosomal RNA is filed under the name uncultured bacterium. RNAcentral describes it as "partial 16S ribosomal RNA". It matches the Rfam family "Bacterial small subunit ribosomal RNA", at positions 524 to 783 of the family's 1533-position model. The record is from RNAcentral.
UACGUAGGGGGCUAGCGUUGUCCGGAUUUAUUGGGCGUAAAGAGCGUGUAGGCGGCCAGGUAGGUCUGGUGUGAAAACUCGAGGCUUAACCUCGAGAUGUCAUCGGAAACCAUCUGGCUAGAGUCCGGAAGAGGAGAGUGGAAUUCCUGGUGUAGCGGUGAAAUGCGCAGAUAUCAGGAGGAACACCGAUGGCGAAAGGCAGGUCUCUGGGCCGAUGAACUGACGCUGAGAAGCGAAAGACAUGGGGAGCGAACAGGAUUAGAA